GACCGUUUGGCACAGUGGUCCAGCGCGCCAAUUUCUUACAGGUAUCGCGCGUUCGAUCCUCGGAAGGGUAU
This is a non-coding RNA of Plicaturopsis crispa FD-325 SS-3, 71 nucleotides long. Lineage: Eukaryota; Fungi; Basidiomycota; Agaricomycetes; Amylocorticiales; Amylocorticiaceae. The record is from the annotation of a GenBank genome assembly.